GCUGGGCACUGUGGCAUGUACCUGCAGUCCCAGAUACUCCAGAAACUGAGGCAGGAGGAUUGCUUGAGCUCAGGAACUCAAGGUCAGCCUGAACAACACAGCAAGACCCUGUCUCAC
Molecule: small RNA, 117 nt
Filed under: Marmota monax (woodchuck)
Lineage: Eukaryota; Metazoa; Chordata; Mammalia; Rodentia; Sciuridae
Source: RNAcentral